CAAACAAUGUAGCCAGUCUUUUUGGGGGGUUGUCUAUUUUCUAACAAUGAGUCUUUUUGGGGGGUUGUCUAUUUUCUAACAAUGAGGCCAGUCUUUUUGGGGGGAUUGUCUAUUUUCUAACAAUUAGUCUUUUUGAGGGGGUUGUCUAUUUUCUAACAAUUAGUCUUUUUGAGGGGGUUGUCUAUUUUCUAACAAUGUAGCCAAUUUUCAAACAAUGUAGCCAGUCUUUUUGGGGGGUUGUCUAUUUUCUAACAAUGUAGCCAGUCUUUUGGGGGGUUGUCUAUUUUCUAACAAUGUAGCCAAU
Molecule: long non-coding RNA, 304 nt
Organism: Oncorhynchus tshawytscha (Chinook salmon)
Lineage: Eukaryota; Metazoa; Chordata; Actinopteri; Salmoniformes; Salmonidae
Source: Ensembl